GGUAAUGUGGCUUAGUGAUACAGUGCUUGCCUAGCAUGCAUGAAGUCCUGGGUUCAAUUCCUCAGUACCA
This 70-nucleotide transfer RNA is filed under the name Dipodomys ordii (Ord's kangaroo rat). It matches the Rfam family "tRNA". Rfam says of the family: Transfer RNA (tRNA) molecules are approximately 80 nucleotides in length. Their secondary structure includes four short double-helical elements and three loops (D, anti-codon, and T loops). The record is from Rfam by way of RNAcentral. Lineage: Eukaryota; Metazoa; Chordata; Mammalia; Rodentia; Heteromyidae.